CCAAAUGCCCUAACAUUUUCAAAAACGCUGCUGGGCUGCUCUGUCUCCCUCUCCAAUCCGGCAACGCCCAUUGACACAAGCCACGCCCACAGACCAAAAAAGCACCGCCCACCACCAACCACUUCCUCACUGAACGCACCGGCGACGCCCACCCACGGCACCAGCUCGAAAUCCGACGACGCCCAUCGACACAGGCCGCGCCACAGUCCAAAAAUCGACCGGCCGAACGCCACCCACGGCACCAGCUCAGAGUCUCACUAACCAUACGUCGUGUACGGGUAAGAAGAAGAUAACUGGAGUGUAAAGGCCAUUCACAGAAAGACCACCGAAACUGGCCGAAUGAGGUACCUUCAUCACAUGCCUCGCAGGUUCAAGACCAAUUUUAGAGGAGGUACGCAAGAUACUCAAAAGGAACAAGGGAACAUCUGCGGCCACUUGAAAUUUGGAAGUGCAUGCUGCCUUUUUUUUCUUUCUUUUUUUUUUUUUUUUUCUUUUUUAAAUUUAUUCCGGAAUUGUCAAAUAAAGUUUUGAAUUAUUGUAUGAGUGUUACUUCAAUUUAUCUUGGAGUUAUCUCUGUUUAAA
Alnus glutinosa is the source of this 582-nucleotide long non-coding RNA. RefSeq lists it as uncharacterized. The record is from RefSeq and is a predicted model, not a curated record. NCBI's taxonomy places the organism in Eukaryota, Viridiplantae, Streptophyta, Magnoliopsida, Fagales, Betulaceae. The transcript is spliced from 3 exons.